UGAAUACGAGAUGCUACGGCGUCGAAGCAGUGUAUGUCAGACUUCCAAGAAAAGCUCGCAAUGUCAUAAAUAAAGAAUGCCUGUACCAUAACCGACACAGGUGGGUAGGUAGAGUAUACUAAGGGGCGCGAGAUAACUCUCUCUAAGGAACUCGGCAAAAUAACUCCGUAACUUCGGGAGAAGGAGUGCCUUCUUUAAGAAGGUUGCAAUAACAAGAUCCAAGCAACUGUUUAUCAAAAACACAGGUCUCCGCUAAGUCGUAAGACGAUGUAUGGGGGCUGACGCCUGCCCAGUGCCAGAAGGUUAAAGAAGCUGGUUAGCAAUAGCGAAGCUGGUGACUGAAGCCCUGGUGAACGGCGGCCGUAACAAUAACGGUCCUAAGGUAGCGAAAUUCCUUGUCGGGUAAGUUCCGACCCGCACGAAAGGCGUAAUGAUUUGGAUACUGUCUCGGAGAGGGACUCGGUGAAAUAGACUUGUCUGUGAAGAUGCGGACUACCUGCACCAGGACAGAAAGACCCUAUGAAGCUUUACUGUAACCUGAAAUUGAAAUUGGACUUUAUUUGCGCAGUAUAGGUGGGAGGCGUUGAAAGUAAUCUUGCGGGAUUAGUGGAGCCAUCAGUGAGAUACCACUCCUAUAAUGUUAGAUUUCUAACUUUGGAUCAUGAUCUGGUCAAAGAACAGUUUCAGGCGGGCAGUUUGACUGGGGCGGUCGCCUCCCAAAUGGUAACGGAGGCGUACAAAGGUUUCCUCUGAACGGGUAGAAAUCGUAUCUAGAGUGUAAAGGCAUAAGGAAGCUUGACUGUGAGACCUACAAGUCGAGCAGGGACGAAAGUCGGUCUUAGUGAUCUGACGGUGCUGAGUGGAAAGGCCGUCACUCAACGGAUAAAAGUUACUCUAGGAUAACAGGCUGAUCUCCCCCAAGAGUUCACAUCGACGGGGAGGUUUGGCACCUCGAUGUCGGCUCAUCGCAUCCUGGGGCGGUAGUACGUCCCAAGGGUUGGGCUGUUCGCCCAUGAAAGCGGUACGCGAGCUGGGUUCAGAACGUCGUGAGACAGUUCGGUCCAUAUCCGGUGUAGGCGUUAGAAUAUUGAGAGGAGCCUUCUCUAGUACGAGAGGACCGAGAAGGACAUACCUCUGGUGUACCAGUUAUCGUGCCAACGGUAAACGCUGGGUAGCUAUGUAUGGAGAGGAUAACCGCUGAAAGCAUCUAAGUGGGAAGCCCACCUCAAGAUGAGUAUUCUCAUC
Molecule: ribosomal RNA, 1245 nt
Filed under: metagenome
Description: bacterial LSU rRNA
Rfam family: Bacterial large subunit ribosomal RNA
Source: RNAcentral